This 21-nucleotide microRNA is filed under the name Corchorus capsularis. RNAcentral's name for it is "sRNA CCACVL1_21014". Lineage: Eukaryota; Viridiplantae; Streptophyta; Magnoliopsida; Malvales; Malvaceae. The record is from RNAcentral.
UGAAUGAAUGAGUCGGCAGCU